GACGAACGCUGGCGGCGUGCCUAAUACAUGCAAGUAGAACGCACAGUUUAUACCGUAGCUUGCUACACCAUAGACUGUGAGUUGCGAACGGGUGAGUAACGCGUAGGUAACCUGCCUGGUAGCGGGGGAUAACUAUUGGAAACGAUAGCUAAUACCGCAUAAUAUUAAUUAUUGCAUGAUAAUUAAUUGAAAGGUGCAAUUGCACCACUACCAGAUGGACCUGCGUUGUAUUAGCUAGUAGGUGAGGUAACGGCUCACCUAGGCGACGAUACAUAGCCGACCUGAGAGGGUGAUCGGCCACACUGGGACUGAGACACGGCCCAGACUCCUACGGGAGGCAGCAGUAGGGAAUCUUCGGCAAUGGACGAAAGUCUGACCGAGCAACGCCGCGUGAGUGAAGAAGGGUUUCGGAUCGUAAAGCUCUGUUGUAAGAGAAGAACGGGUGUGAGAGUGGAAAGUUCACACUGUGACGGUAGCUUAACAGAAAGGGACGGCUAACUACGUG
This 505-nucleotide ribosomal RNA is filed under the name uncultured bacterium. Its description in RNAcentral is "partial 16S ribosomal RNA". It matches the Rfam family "Bacterial small subunit ribosomal RNA", at positions 28 to 507 of the family's 1533-position model. The record is from RNAcentral.